Molecule: unclassified non-coding RNA, 386 nt
Filed under: uncultured Inocybe
Lineage: Eukaryota; Fungi; Basidiomycota; Agaricomycetes; Agaricales; Cortinariaceae
Description: sequence contains ITS2
Rfam family: 5.8S ribosomal RNA (bases 1-154)
Source: RNAcentral
AACUUUCAGAAACGGAUCAUUUGGCUCUCGCAUCGAUGAAGAACGCAGCGAAAUGCGAUAAGUAUUGUGAAUUGCAGAAUUCAGUGAAUCAUCGAAUCUUUGAACGCAUCUUACGCUUCUUGGUAUUCCAAGGAGCAUGCCUGUUUGAGUGUCACUAAAGUUCUCAAAACCCACAUGGUGGAAUUUUGGAUAUGGGGGUUGCAGGCUUUUUGAAGUCGGCUCCUCUGAAAUGUAUCAGUGGUAUCUGUGUGGAACUACAGGUGUGAUAAAUGAAAUCUAUGCCUCGUCUCUCACUGUGCUGCUUCUGGCGGAGUUGGAUUGACAGAUUUGACCUCAAAUCAGGUAGGACUACCCGCUGAACUUAAGCAUAUCAAUAAGCGGAGGCU